AACAAAACAAAUUAUGGCUAAAACUCUCAUGUUUUUUCAAAUUAUGUUUACUUUUAUUUUUAUAUUUACCAUUGUAAUUGAAGGCCUCCUCCCUAGUAAGAUCGAAUUUUUUUCCGUCAAAUUUUCUUUAUAUGUUUUAUUCCCUAUUAUUAACAUUCGUUUUUUCUUAUUUGACAUCGCAGAAUAUAAUUUCAAUAAGAAGUGUUUUAAUGACAAGGAUUGCCCUAAAUUUCUAUGUAUACCUCCUAGUGUUCCAAAGUGCUUAAGGAACCAUUGUCGAUGUGAUGACAAUUGAAUCGCAUCCUCAAAAGUUAUAAAAAAUGGUCAUUAGUGCUACCGUUAUUGAUAAUAAUUUUACCUUCCCCACUUUUUGAUCAAGUUCAAAAAUAUAUUUGUGGUACUUCUAAGAGUAUAAUUGUAUUUGUAAAGUUGGUACUUUUAUGCUUUAUUUCACCCUUCCAUAUUUGUUAGUUAAACCUUUAAAAUUUAUUUGUUUGACUCAUAAGUAUAUUAUUGUAUUAUGCAAGUGUUGUUACAUAUUCCUUUGCUUUUAGAAGUUAUCAAGAAUAAACUACACAAAUAUAACCGUAACAUUCUUCAAAAUAUAUAUACAUCUGGAGUAGUAAACAAAGGCAAUAUAUGCUCAAAUGUAGUAUAAUUAUUCUAUUUAAAUAUAGUAUGAUUAAAUAAAAAUGUGAACUUUAAUUGAAUUGAUAAAAUUAUCGAAAAGAGCUAAAUUUCAUGAUUGACAAUGGGUAGGGGUAUGAGUAUGAUACUAUAGUAUUCAUUUUCAUACCCGCAGUUUGAAAAAAUACUCGUACUCAACCUCAUAUACUCGUGUGGGUAAAAACCUUUGUACCCGUACUCGUAUCACUACAAGAAAAACAUACAUUUGCGGCGGCCAAAAGCCCACGCAAAGGCACAAAAAGCCAACACAGAGGAUUAUUUGCGGCGGAAAUUUGUCACGGGAAAACUGGGGUAGAAAAUAGUUGCGGUUAUUUUGCAAAAGGCAGCCGCAAAUGUGUCUGUCAGAUCAUUGCGUCGGUUACUUUCUGCCGCAAACUUUGAUGGGAAUUUCAAAAUUCAGAUACGUUUGCAUGGCAAUAAAACCGACGGAACACUGUGCCCAGUUUGAUUAAGCCAGACCUAGUGCGGCGGACAGAAGGCCGCCGGAAAUGCCAAGUAAUUAAAAAAAUUAAUUUAUCAUCAAAUUUUAAAAAUCAAUUUAUCAUCUUCUUCAUUUUUGUUGAUUUAUCAAAUUUUAUGAUCAAAUUCAUUUUUAUCGUUGUUGAUUUAUCUUCUUCAUUCUUUGUUUUUACAUAAUUUUCAAUAAACUUAUGUUUUGCUUCGGUACAUCAAAAAAUAUUCUUAACAGUAUUUCUUUUUAGUUAACAUUAUUUUUAGAUUUAGAACUAAAAAAAAAACUACAUGACUAAAUAGACACUUCAUUUUUGUACAAAAAAAAUUAGAUACUUCAUUUAGGUUAUCAAUUCAUUCACAUAAUCAAACCAAAUAGAUCCAUUGUUGCUAUUGUUGUUUUAUAAAGAAAAUAAAAUCCAUAUGAGAAGUAAAAGAAAAAUCUUCUGCCCAACAAUAGAUCCAAAAAUUAAUAUGGAAUAAUCUAUUAAUAUUUGAAAAAGAAAUGUUUAGAAAGAUGAAAUACUUAAAAAAAAAAUUCAUAAUCAUGUAAAAAAAACUACAGAAGCGUGUUUACAAUAAAUUUUUCUUUUUCUUAUAUGAUACAAAUUUUUAGAUUCAAACCCAAAUUCGGAUUUGUUGUUCUUGUUGUUGUUUGCAUGAUAUAGUGUAGAAGAAGAACACACACAGCAGAAGUAGCCAUUUGUUUUUGGACAGUGAAUGUUUUUGGACAACAUUACGAUGCCAACCUUUUGAACUCUUUUUGUUUAUUAAUUUCUUAAAAAAAAUAUGGAUGAUAUACAACGGUGAAUUUUGUAAAAUUCGUAUUCGUUAUAAUAGUAUUCAUGACUUGUGCACCAUGAAAAACUUGGUAAAGUAUUUCACCGUAGAUUUGGCCUAAAUAUUCGUCCAAUAAAAAAAAUCACAUGAAAUUUCUUUUCUUUUUUUUUUGUGUGAAGUAUUUUGUUUUUAAUUCUAACUAGUUUAGACAUCCACGGGCUAGAAUUUCGUCUUAUUUAAAAUUAUUUUAACUUAUCACAUAUUAUCAUUAUUUGUAAAGUAUUAAUUUUUGUCAAAAAAAAUAUCUAUAAAGUAUUAAUUAAUAUCAUAUAUUGUCCGCAUAUUUUUUUAUUUUAUUUUUUGGUGAACCAAAUAUAUAUUUCGCAUUAAACUGCUGAGACUAAUCCACUCGAAGUAACUGAGAUCCAUUUAAAAGGUUGAGAUACAUUUAUAGGGUAUUUUUAUUUAUUGAGGUGUUUUAUUUUUUCCACGGUUAGAUUUAAAAUAAUAGCUAGGAUUAAUUGUUGAAAGAGAUUGAGACAAAUUGAGAUUAAGAGGAUCCAAAUCCGGAAUAAUCAAUGCGUUAUUCCGGCAACCAUAAUUUUGUUCACAUGUAUAUCAUGAAAGGAUAAAAGAGUAACAAAAAGAAUAAUUUCCAGGUGUGAUAAAAUCGGUGUGCCGACAAUCAAUCCUUAGUUGGUUUAGUGGUGAUUGACGCUGAACUUGGUAGAGAGGACUACGGUUCGAUCCCCAGCAACUGCGAUCAGGAGGGAGUUUGAACAACUUGAUACCAGAACUGACUCCCGAACUAGAUUAAACUGGUGGUGAAAGAAAAAAAAAAUCAAUGUGCUGACAAACACAACAUAUCAAUGCACCCAAGAGACAUUUAAUGAUAAUUCUAAUUUUAAUAAUUGGGGUUUUCACACUAUAAAAUGAUCAUACAAUUUUUAAACUUUACACGCAAACAAAACAAAUUAUGGCUAAAAAAACUCUCAUGUUUUUUCAAAUUAUGUUUACUUUUAUUUUUAUAUUUACCAUUGUAAUUGAAGGCUUCCCUAGUAAGAUCGUUUUUUUUUCCUUCAAAUUUUUUUUAUAUGUUUUAUUCCCUAUUAUUAACAUUCGUUUUUUCUUAUUUGACAUCACAGAAUUUAAUUCCGAUCAGAAGUGUUAUGGUGACAAGGAUUGCCCUAAAUUUCUGUGUAUGCCUCCUAGUGUUCCAAAGUGCUUAAGGAACCAUUGUCGAUGUGUUGACAAUUGAAUCUCAUCCUCAAAAGUUGUAAAAAUGGUCAUUAGUGCUACCGUUAUUGAUAAUAAUUUUACCUUCCCCAUUUUUUGAUCAAGUUCAAAAAUAUAUUUGUGGUACUUCUAAGAGUAUAUAAUUUUAUUUGUAAUUAUAAUGUUGGUACUUUUAUGCUUUAUUUCACCCUUCAAUAUUUGUUAGUUAAACCUUUAAAAUUUAUUUGUUUGACUCAAAAGUAUAAUAUUGUAUUAUGCAAGUGUUGUUACAUAUUCCUUUGCUUUUAGAAGUUAUCAAGAAUAAACUACACAA
Molecule: long non-coding RNA, 3466 nt
Filed under: Trifolium pratense (red clover)
Lineage: Eukaryota; Viridiplantae; Streptophyta; Magnoliopsida; Fabales; Fabaceae
Description: long non-coding RNA (TPRA_LNC000051)
Source: RNAcentral